GGCGGCGUGCCUGAGACAUGCAAGUCGUGGGAGAAAGUCGUAGCAAUACGGCUAGUAAACCGGCGCACGGGUGAGUAACACGUGGACAACCUGCCUUAGAGUCUGGGAUAACCCGUCGAAAGACGAGCUAAUACCGGAUAAGACCACGGGAAGUUCGCUUCCUGAGGUAAAAGAUGGCCUCUGCUCCUGCAAGCUAUCACUUUGAGAGGGGUCCGCGCCCUAUCAGCUAGUUGGCGAGGUAACGGCUCACCAAGGCUAAGACGGGUAGCUGGUCUGAGAGGAUGGUCAGCCACACUGGGACUGAGACACGGCCCAGAGUCCUACGGGAUGCAGCAGUCAGGAAUAUUGCGCAAUGGAGGAAACUCUGACGCAGCGACGCCGCGUGGGUGAUGAAGGCCUUCGGGUCGUAAAGCCCUGUCGGAGGGGAAGAAAAGUUUGCUGGCUAAUAUCCAGCAGACCUUUGACGGUACCCUCAAAGGAAGCACCGGCUAACUCCGUGCCAGCAGCCGCGGUAAGACGGAGGGUGCAAGCGUUGUUCGGAUUGACUGGGCGUAAAGGGCGUGU
This 564-nucleotide ribosomal RNA is filed under the name uncultured bacterium. RNAcentral's name for it is "bacterial SSU rRNA". It matches the Rfam family "Bacterial small subunit ribosomal RNA", at positions 38 to 572 of the family's 1533-position model. The record is from RNAcentral.